RNAcentral lists this ribosomal RNA (756 nucleotides) under uncultured bacterium. Its description in RNAcentral is "bacterial SSU rRNA". It matches the Rfam family "Bacterial small subunit ribosomal RNA", at positions 8 to 780 of the family's 1533-position model. The record is from RNAcentral.
AGAGUUUGAUCCUGGCUCAGGACGAACGCUGGCGGCGUGCUUAACACAUGCAAGUCGAGCGAUGAAGCUCCUUCGGGAGUGGAUUAGCGGCGGACGGGUGAGUAACACGUGGGUAACCUGCCUCAUAGAGGGGAAUAGCCUUUCGAAAGGAAGAUUAAUACCGCAUAAGAUUGUAGUACCGCAUGGUACAGCAAUUAAAGGAGUAAUCCGCUAUGAGAUGGACCCGCGUCGCAUUAGCUAGUUGGUGAGGUAACGGCUCACCAAGGCGACGAUGCGUAGCCGACCUGAGAGGGUGAUCGGCCACAUUGGGACUGAGACACGGCCCAGACUCCUACGGGAGGCAGCAGUGGGGAAUAUUGCACAAUGGGGGGAACCCUGAUGCAGCAACGCCGCGUGAGUGAUGAAGGUCUUCGGAUCGUAAAGCUCUGUCUUCAGGGACGAUAAUGACGGUACCUGAGGAGGAAGCCACGGCUAACUACGUGCCAGCAGCCGCGGUAAUACGUAGGUGGCGAGCGUUGUCCGGAUUUACUGGGCGUAAAGGGAGCGUAGGCGGAUUUUUAAGUGAGAUGUGAAAUACCCGGGCUCAACUUGGGUGCUGCAUUUCAAACUGGAAGUCUAGAGUGCAGGAGAGGAGAGUGGAAUUCCUAGUGUAGCGGUGAAAUGCGUAGAGAUUAGGAAGAACACCAGUGGCGAAGGCGACUCUCUGGGACUGUAACUGACGCUGAGGCUCGAAAGCGUGGGGAGCAAACAGGAUUA